UACGGGGGGAGCAAGCGUUGUUCGGAUUUACUGGGCGUUAAAGGGCGCGUAGGCGGUCGUGACAAGUUCACUUGUGAAAUCUCCGGGCUUAACUCGGAACGGUCAAGUGAUACUGUCGGACUAGAGUACAGAAGGGGCAACUGGAAUUCUCGGUGUAGCGGUGAAAUGCGUAGAUAUCGAGAGGAACACCUGCGGCGAAGGCGGGUUGCUGGGCUGACACUGACGCUGGAAGCGCGAAAAGCUAGGGGAGCGAACGGG
RNAcentral lists this ribosomal RNA (258 nucleotides) under uncultured bacterium. RNAcentral's name for it is "partial 16S ribosomal RNA". It matches the Rfam family "Bacterial small subunit ribosomal RNA", at positions 524 to 776 of the family's 1533-position model. The record is from RNAcentral.